This 382-nucleotide ribosomal RNA is filed under the name uncultured eukaryote. RNAcentral describes it as "partial 18S ribosomal RNA". It matches the Rfam family "Eukaryotic small subunit ribosomal RNA", at positions 592 to 976 of the family's 1831-position model. The record is from RNAcentral.
UGUAAGCGUAUACCAAAGUUAUUGCAGUUAAAACGCUCGUAGUCGGAAUUUGGCAGUUCCGGAAGUGUGCACGUCGUGUGCGCACUUUGCGGGGACUGCUUUUGUGGUCUUGCGUAGGAUGAGGCACUUUCAUUAGUGAACGUCCUCACGCAACCACUCUUUACUGUGAGAAAAUCAGAGUGCUCAAAGCAGGCAUUUGCCGUGAAUGUAUUAGCAUGGAAUAAUAGAAUAGGACUCGGUUCUAUUUUGUUGGUUUGUUGGGACUGAGUAAUGAUUAAGAGGGACAGUUGGGGGCAUUUGUAUUCCGGCGCUAGAGGUGAAAUUCUUAGAUUGCCGGAAGACAAACUGCUGCGAAAGCGUCUGCCAAGGAUGUUUUCAUUGA